RNAcentral lists this ribosomal RNA (467 nucleotides) under uncultured bacterium. Its description in RNAcentral is "partial 16S ribosomal RNA". It matches the Rfam family "Bacterial small subunit ribosomal RNA", at positions 29 to 507 of the family's 1533-position model. The record is from RNAcentral.
AUGAACGCUGGCGGCGUGCUUAACACCUGCAAGUCGAACGGAAAGGCCCAAGCUUGCUUGGGUACUCGAGUGGCGAACGGGUGAGUAACACGUGGGUGAUCUGCUCUGCACUUCGGGAUAAGCCUGGGUAACUGGGUCUAAUACUGGCUAGGACCACUUCUUGGAUGGUGUGGUGGAAAGUUUUUUCGGUGUGGGAUGAGCUCGCGGCCUAUCAGCUUGUUGGUGGGUUAAUGGCCUACCAAGGCGUCGACGGGUAGCCGGCCUGAGAGGGUGUACGGCCGCAAUAGGGCGUAACUGCGGCCCAGACUCCUACAGGAGGCAGCACGGGGGAAUAUUGGACAAUGGGUGCAAGCCUGAUGCAGCGAAGCCGCGUGAGGGAAGAGUGGCUUUGUGUUGUAAACUCCUUUCGCUAGGGACGAAGCGUUUUUGUGACGGUACCUGGAGAAGAAGCACCGGCUAACUACGUG